RNAcentral lists this ribosomal RNA (253 nucleotides) under uncultured bacterium. RNAcentral's name for it is "partial 16S ribosomal RNA". It matches the Rfam family "Bacterial small subunit ribosomal RNA", at positions 524 to 776 of the family's 1533-position model. The record is from RNAcentral.
UACGAAGGGGGCUAGCGUUGCUCGGAAUCACUGGGCGUAAAGGGUGCGUAGGCGGGUCUUUAAGUCAGGGGUGAAAUCCUGGAGCUCAACUCCAGAACUGCCUUUGAUACUGAGGAUCUUGAGUUCAGGAGAGGUGAGUGGAACUGCGAGUGUAGAGGUGAAAUUCGUAGAUAUUCGCAAGAACACCAGUGGCGAAGGCGGCUCACGGGCCCGAUACUGACGCUGAGGCACGAAAGCGUGGGGAGCAAACAGG